Molecule: ribosomal RNA, 373 nt
Filed under: uncultured organism
Description: partial 16S ribosomal RNA
Rfam family: Bacterial small subunit ribosomal RNA
Source: RNAcentral
GUAGGUGGCAAGCGUUGUCCGGAAUUAUUGGGCGUAAAGCGCGCGCAGGCGGUUCUUUAAGUCUGAUGUGAAAGCCCACGGGCUCAACCGUGGAGGGUCAUUGGAAACUGGAGAACUUGGGUACAGAAGAGGAAAGCGGAAUUCCACGUGUAGCGGUGAAAUGCGUAGAGAUGUGGAGGAACACCAGUGGCGAAGGCGGCUUUCUGGUCUGUAACUGACGCUGAGGCGCGAAAGCGUGGGGAGCAAACAGGAUUAGAUACCCUGGUAGUCCACGCCGUAAACGAUGAGUGCUAAGUGUUAGGGGGUUUCCGCCCCUUAGUGCUGCAGCUAACGCAUUAAGCACUCCGCCUGGGGAGUACGGCCGCAAAGGCUG